This 60-nucleotide transfer RNA is filed under the name Biomphalaria glabrata. It matches the Rfam family "tRNA", at positions 7 to 64 of the family's 71-position model. Rfam says of the family: Transfer RNA (tRNA) molecules are approximately 80 nucleotides in length. The record is from Rfam by way of RNAcentral. Lineage: Eukaryota; Metazoa; Mollusca; Gastropoda; Planorbidae.
GUGGCUGAGUGGUAGAGCGCUUGGCUUCCAAACCAAGGGGUAUCGGGUUUGAAUCCCGGC